AUGCACGCUGGCGGCGUGCCUAAUACAUGCCAGUCGAGCGAACGGACGAGAAGCUUGCUUCUCUGAUGUUAGCGGCGGACGGGUGAGUAACACGUGGAUAACCUACCUAUAAGACUGGGAUAACUUCGGGAAACCGGAGCUAAUACCGGAUAAUAUUUUGAACCGCAUGGUUCAAAAGUGAAAGACGGUCUUGCUGUCACUUAUAGAUGGAUCCGCGCUGCAUUAGCUAGUUGGUAAGGUAACGGCUUACCAAGGCAACGAUGCAUAGCCGACCUGAGAGGGUGAUCGGCCACACUGGAACUGAGACACGGUCCAGACUCCUACGGGAGGCAGCAGUAGGGAAUCUUCCGCAAAGGGCGAAAGCCUGACGGAGCAACGCCGCGUGAGUGAUGAAGGUCUUCGGAUCGUAAAACUCUGUUAUUAGGGAAGAACAUAUAUGUAAGUAACUGUGCACAUCUUGACGGUACCUAAUCAGAAAGCCACGGCUAACUACGUG
RNAcentral lists this ribosomal RNA (496 nucleotides) under uncultured bacterium. RNAcentral describes it as "partial 16S ribosomal RNA". It matches the Rfam family "Bacterial small subunit ribosomal RNA", at positions 29 to 507 of the family's 1533-position model. The record is from RNAcentral.